CUCCGCAGUUAAGCGUGCUUGGGC
RNAcentral lists this non-coding RNA (24 nucleotides) under Arabidopsis thaliana (thale cress). Lineage: Eukaryota; Viridiplantae; Streptophyta; Magnoliopsida; Brassicales; Brassicaceae. The record is from RNAcentral.